UUUGAAGGUGGAGAAGGUGAAGGGUAUAAACUGCUUCCAUUUGGUGCUGGAAGGCGGGCUUGUCCUGGGGCUGGUCUAGCCAAGCGAAUCAUAGGCCUGACACUAGGUGUCUUGAUUCAGUGCUUCGAGUGGGAUAGAGUUAGCAAAGAGGAGAUUAAUCUGACAGAAGGAACAGGGCUUACCAUUCCCAAAGCUGAACCACUGGAGGCGUUAUGCAGACCUCGCCAAUCCAUGGUCAACCUCCUCUCUUCCAUGUGAGUUUGAGUGGGAUAGAGUUAGCAAAGAGGAGAUUAACUUGACAGAGGGAACAGGGCUUCCCAUGCCCAAAGCUGAACCACUGGAGGCGUUAUGCAGACCUCGCCAAUCCAUGGUCAACCUCCUCUCUUCUAUGUGAAGCAUAUGGAUGAUUUUCCUCAAGUAUGCUCUCUUUGUUUGCUCUGAGACAUUCUAUAACUAAGGGAAUACUUUUUUCAUAGCAUCCACAAUAAUAUAUAUAAGCAAUG
This 503-nucleotide long non-coding RNA is filed under the name Populus trichocarpa (black cottonwood). RNAcentral describes it as "long non-coding RNA (PTRI_LNC003198)". The record is from RNAcentral. Lineage: Eukaryota; Viridiplantae; Streptophyta; Magnoliopsida; Malpighiales; Salicaceae.